AAAUUGUGUUUUCACUUGACCUUAGGAGUGUUAUUUUGAGUGUAUUUUAAUAUCUGUACUCAGGUGUUUCCCUCUGUGAUCCAUCCCCUUCAGAGCUGAGACACUCAGGACUGAACAGACUGCACAGUUUCUGUGACUGAGCCUCCAAAACAUCUUCUUUGAAACCACACAUGAUAGAAGGGCUUUAUAUUUGCAGCAGCACUACUAAAGUCGGCAGGAAUGUUGCUGCAGGAAAACAUCCCUGCAGAUCACCAUCAUUGUCAGACUGACUGUGCCUCCUCUGUGCAGUGUCAAGAUCCUCCCUAAAUGAGUGUCUAUCCUGCUUCUGUGCUGCUUGCCACACAUCAAACACUGGCCGGAUGACAGGGAGGAUCCACUCUGAAGUCACUGGACAUGAUGAGGAUCAUAUGGGACUUUAUAGUUUCACAGAAAUGUUGUGCUCUUUGAUUACAGGUUUUAAAUGGACAUAAUGACUGCCUCUCUCUGAUCUGACAGGCUAAAGGAUUGUUUUCAUUGUUAGUGCUCUGUACAGUGUAUGCUUAUUUAAUAUUUCAUCACAGAGCAAACCUUUAUUUAUUUAACAUAUUUUUAUUUUGUUUUAAUGUUGAAUUAACUGUGGGGAUUUUUUUAAGUGGGCACUCGGGAUGUCAUAUGACCAGAAAUGUGGUAACUGUAAUUCAACAGUAUGUAAAGAAAGAAUCUGCUAAGAACAAAACACAGACAAAAAACCCCAAGAGAACUCAAAUUUGUUCCAUGUAAUCCAAUCUAAAACAUUUUAAACUGCUGAACAGCAACACAAACAGUGUUAAAGAAACAGUGUUAACAGAAUAAUUAUGAUGAGUUUGUACCAAAGUUUCAGGUCACAUGGCACAC
Long non-coding RNA from Pelmatolapia mariae (spotted tilapia), 873 nucleotides. RefSeq lists it as uncharacterized. The record is from RefSeq and is a predicted model, not a curated record. NCBI's taxonomy places the organism in Eukaryota, Metazoa, Chordata, Actinopteri, Cichliformes, Cichlidae. The transcript has 3 exons.